This 802-nucleotide ribosomal RNA is filed under the name uncultured Pelagibacteraceae bacterium. Its description in RNAcentral is "bacterial SSU rRNA". It matches the Rfam family "Bacterial small subunit ribosomal RNA", at positions 34 to 884 of the family's 1533-position model. The record is from RNAcentral. Lineage: Bacteria; Pseudomonadati; Pseudomonadota; Alphaproteobacteria; Candidatus Pelagibacterales; Candidatus Pelagibacteraceae.
CGCUGGCGGCACGCCUAACACAUGCAAGUCGAACGAAGUAGCAAUACUUAGUGGCAGACGGGUGAGUAACAUGUAGGUAUCUACCCUUUGGCCUGGAAUAACACGAGGAAACUUGUGCUAAUACCGGAUAAGUCUUUACAGAGAAAGCUUUAUGCACCAUUGGAUGAGCCUGCACUUGAUUAGUUUGUUGGUAGGGUAAUGGCCUACCAAGACUUUGAUCAAUAGCUGAUUUGAGAGGAUGAUCAGCCACAUUGGGACUGAGACACGGCCCAAACUCCUACGGGAGGCAGCAGUGGGGAAUCUUGCACAAUGGAGGAAACUCUGAUGCAGCGAUGCCGCGUGAGUGAAGAAGGCCUUUGGGUUGUAAAGCUCUUUCGUCGGGGAAGAAAAUGACUGUACCCGAAUAAGAAGGUCCGGCUAACUUCGUGCCAGCAGCCGCGGUAAUACGAAGGGACCUAGCGUAGUUCGGAAUUACUGGGCUUAAAGAGUUCGUAGGUGGUUGAAAAAGUUGGUGGUGAAAUCCCAGAGCUUAACUCUGGAACUGCCAUCAAAACUUUUCAGCUAGAGUUUGAUAGAGGAAAGCAGAAUUUCUAGUGUAGAGGUGAAAUUCGUAGAUAUUAGAAAGAAUACCAAUUGCGAAGGCAGCUUUCUGGAUCAUUACUGACACUGAGGAACGAAAGCAUGGGUAGCGAAGAGGAUUAGAUACCCUCGUAGUCCAUGCCGUAAACGAUGUGUGUUAGACGUUGGAAAUUUAUUUUCAGUGUCGCAGCGAAAGCGAUAAACACACCGCCUGGGGAGUACG